RNAcentral lists this ribosomal RNA (301 nucleotides) under uncultured bacterium. RNAcentral's name for it is "partial 16S ribosomal RNA". It matches the Rfam family "Bacterial small subunit ribosomal RNA", at positions 509 to 807 of the family's 1533-position model. The record is from RNAcentral.
CAGCAGCCGCGGUAAAACGGAGGGUGCAAGCGUUAAUCGGAAUUACUGGGCGUAAAGCGCACGCAGGCGGUCUGACAAGUCAGAUGUGAAAUCCCCGGGCUUAACCUGGGAACUGCAUUUGAAACUGUCAGGCUGGAGUCUUGUAGAGGGGGGUGGAAUUCCAGGUGUAGCGGUGAAAUGCGUAGAGAUCUGGAGGAAUACCGGUGGCGAAGGCGGCCCCCUGGACAAAGACUGACGCUUAGGUGCGAAAGCGUGGGGAGCAAACAGGAUUAGAUACCCCUGUAGUCCCUGUCUCUUAUAC